ACGCGAGGAACCUUACCAGGUCUUGACAUCUGAAUGACCGGUACAGAGAUGUACCUUUCCUUCGGGACAUUCAAGACAGGUGGUGCAUGGUUGUCGUCAGCUCGUGUCGUGAGAUGUUGGGUUAAGUCCCGCAACGAGCGCAACCCUUGAUCUUAGUUGCCAGCACUUCGGGUGGGCACUCUAAGGUGACUGCCGGUGACAAACCGGAGGAAGGUGGGGAUGACGUCAAAUCAUCAUGCCCCUUAUGACCUGGGCUACACACGUACUACAAUGGCCAGUACAACGGGAAGCGAAGCCGCGAGGUGGAGCCAAUCCUAAAAAGCUGGUCUCAGUUCGGAUUGCAGGCUGCAACUCGCCUGCAUGAAGUCGGAAUUGCUAGUAAUCGCGGAUCAGCAUGCCGCGGUGAAUACGUUCCCGGGUCUUGCACACACCGCCCGU
Molecule: ribosomal RNA, 438 nt
Filed under: uncultured bacterium
Lineage: Bacteria
Description: bacterial SSU rRNA
Rfam family: Bacterial small subunit ribosomal RNA
Source: RNAcentral